This 433-nucleotide ribosomal RNA is filed under the name uncultured bacterium. RNAcentral describes it as "partial 16S ribosomal RNA". It matches the Rfam family "Bacterial small subunit ribosomal RNA", at positions 36 to 507 of the family's 1533-position model. The record is from RNAcentral.
CCCUCCCUCUUCCUUCCUGCCUAACACAUGCAAGUCGAACGAGACCUUCGGGUCUAGUGGCGCACGGGUGCGUAACGCGUGGGAACCUGCCCUUAGGUUCGGAAUAACUCCCCGAAAGGGGUGCUAAUACCGGAUAAUGUCUUCGGACCAAAGAUUUAUCGCCUUUGGAUGGGCCCGCGUUGGAUUAGCUAGUUGGUAGGGUAAAAGCCUACCAAGACGACGAUCCAUAGCUGGUCUGAGAGGAUGAUCAGCCACACUGGGACUGAGACACGGCCCAGACUCCUACGGGAGGCAGCAGUGGGGAAUAUUGGACAAUGGGCGAAAGCCUGAUCCAGCAAUGCCGCGUGAGUGAUGAAGGCCUUAGGGUUGUAAAGCUCUUUUACCCGGGAUGAUAAUGACAGUACCGGGAGAAUAAGCUCCGGCUAACUCCGUG